AGUGAACGCUGGCGGUAGGCCUAACACAUGCAAGUCGAACGGCAGCACAGUAAGAGCUUGCUCUUACGGGUGGCGAGUGGCGGACGGGUGAGGAAUACAUCGGAAUCUACUUUUUCGUGGGGGAUAACGUAGGGAAACUUACGCUAAUACCGCAUACGACCUACGGGUGAAAGCAGGGGAUCUUCGGACCUUGCGCGAUUGAAUGAGCCGAUGUCGGAUUAGCUAGUUGGCGGGGUAAAGGCCCACCAAGGCGACGAUCCGUAGCUGGUCUGAGAGGAUGAUCAGCCACACUGGAACUGAGACACGGUACAGACUACUACAGGAGGCAGCAGUGGGGAAUAUUGGACAAUGGGCGCAAGCCUGAUCCAACCAUGCCGCGUGGGUGAAGAAGGCCUUCGGGUUGUAAAGCCCUUUUGUUGGGAAAGAAAAGCAGCAGGUUAAUACCCCGCUGUUCUGACGGUACCCAAAGAAUAAGCACCGGCUAACUUCGUG
This 492-nucleotide ribosomal RNA is filed under the name uncultured bacterium. Its description in RNAcentral is "partial 16S ribosomal RNA". It matches the Rfam family "Bacterial small subunit ribosomal RNA", at positions 29 to 507 of the family's 1533-position model. The record is from RNAcentral.